ACCCCGCUCCCCCGUCCAUCCACCCCCUUCCGCCGAGGGGCUGCCAGGGGAGAGGGAGAACUCGCCCGCAUCUGCCCAGGACCCAGCCCCGCGCCUUUCCCUGCCGCGGCCGGAUUUACAAAGGUGCCGUCUGCCCGGGGCGAAGCCCCGCUCCUUCCAGCCGGAGUCCGGGGAAGUGGGUUGCUGCCUGGUCUCAUGUGAACUGGAAGUCCCGGCUAUGCUGCUGGGAAACCAACCAUCCGCGAAACGAAGGUCCUGGCUGCUAUCAUGACUGAUGGCGAGAGGAGAGAGCCCUUCCAGCCGCUGGCGAGCGACGACGUCCGGGUGCCCAUAGCCUCCCUCCCCAGCCAGGCAGCCCAGCCCGGGGAGGACGAGGAUGCGCUCAGCCCUUGCAAGUCGAUCCAGGGCAGCCUGGGCUCUGGCGGCUCCUCGGCCCAGGAUCCAGCCCAGGAGGACGAGGAACAGGUCCCUUACCCGGCCCUGGCACCCACCGUCUUCUUCUGCCUCAAGCAAACCACCCGGCCACGCAGCUGGUGCCUCAGACUGUGUCCCCUUCUCCGAUGCCUCGCUUGACUCCUGAAACCUUCCCGUUCCCCUUAUGACAUCAACUGAGAGAGAACUAAAGCAGCUGGGAGCUGUAUGGAGAAGCGUUGGGAGCAGUGGAAGAAAACGAGCUGGCGAGGAGGAAAAGUCCCAACACUCUGGGCUCAUCCUCCAUUAAUCGGACAUCCCUUUACACCACUCUGGCAGCAUAAAGGGGGACACAAGCCCCAGGAGAAUCCCCUCUGUUCCACAUGCUAGUACAGCAGUAAAAACCAGCCUUGCUCCCAGUUCCUGGGGCAGGGCAGAAGGAAGAGUUAUGGGUGUGGGAGCGGAGUGGCCUGGGCCUACUGAGAUAUUGCUGUUUUCUGCUUCCCAGCACCCUGCUGUAGAUAUAGGAGCCAGUUGUUCAGAUUGAGAUUUGAACUCUACUUGCCUUGAGUUUUGGGGUGUGCUGAUUUGGGGUUUUGUUUGGGCUCAUUUCUCAUCCAAUCUAAACCUCUUCAUGUUUGCCUGGCUGUGCUGUUGGAAACAUUUGUAACUGUAAGGUGUCUAAACUCCUUGGGUUAGGGAUUGUCUUUUUGUUCUGUGUUUGUACAGCCCCUAGCACAAUGGGAUCCUGCUCCAUGCCUGGGGCUCUUAGGGGCUACCACAAUGCAAUUAAUAAUAAUAAUUAAUAAUAGGCUAUCAGUACUUGCCUCAAGCAUCCCACUCUGUUAGCAGAUAUUGAUCCUGUUGGUAAAGGGUUAUGUUGACUCACUGGGGUAGGUGGUUCAUUUACCCCAAUGGGAUAUAAGGGAAGUGGGUGUGGCUCUCUGACUAUAGAGGAUCCCAUGUGUGGGCUGAGCAGUCCUGAAGGAGGAUCUGUGGGAACUGUUGUGCCCAGAGAGAAGGUUUGCAUUGAACUUUAUUAUCUUUAUGGUUAAUUCUUUUGUUAAUGUUAAACCCCAGGAAAGGCACAAGUCUGGCAUCUGCAUUGUGUGUGGAAUGUGCUUCAGAACAGAUUUGGAAAGGCCACCUGCUCACACUGCCUUUGUCUCCGCUGUGCAUUUCUGCAGUCUAUUUUACUGUGUUGAACUUCCUCUAAUUGAGAGAGGAAGUGACAUUUGAUUUAUUUUCUAUGCUGGGUUUCUGAAGCCUUUCCAUCCUUAUUGUCUGGUUCCUGCAGCAUCAUUUUCACAAGCCAGUUCCAAUGUUGCUGGAGUCCUGCAAGGUUUCUUUUUGUUCUUGCUUUAGACAGCUCAAAACAUUUUUUCCUUCCAGAGGAGGAAAAUGUUGAAGCGGGGACAAAGAUUUUAAGUGGACCAAAUGGUAUAUUUCUCCCCGCUUCUUUGGGAUUCAAAGACAUCCCUGGCCUUUAGAUGAUCAACUAGCCUUCACUAUUCAAAGAGUACUGUGGUGUUAAAACAACUCUGUGUGUGUGGGUGGAUGGAUGUGUGUGGGUGUGUACACAUCAGACAUUUUAUAGGUGUCUUUGUGUGAAUUGUAUGCAAGUGGUAUUGUUUUACUCUAGAUAAAACAGU
Long non-coding RNA from Malaclemys terrapin pileata, 2063 nucleotides. RefSeq lists it as uncharacterized. The record is from RefSeq and is a predicted model, not a curated record. Lineage: Eukaryota; Metazoa; Chordata; Testudines; Emydidae. The transcript is spliced from 3 exons.